RNAcentral lists this transfer RNA (86 nucleotides) under Methanobacteriota archaeon. Its description in RNAcentral is "Euryarchaeota archaeon (groundwater metagenome) tRNA-Ser". It matches the Rfam family "tRNA". From Rfam's summary of the family: Transfer RNA (tRNA) molecules are approximately 80 nucleotides in length. Their secondary structure includes four short double-helical elements and three loops (D, anti-codon, and T loops). The record is from RNAcentral. Lineage: Archaea; Methanobacteriati; Methanobacteriota.
GCCGGGGUAGCCUAGCCCGGUAAGGCGGCAGAUUUGAGAUCUGUUUCUCCGAAAGGAGAUCAGGGGUUCAAAUCCUCUCCCCGGCG